Long non-coding RNA from Sander lucioperca (pikeperch), 402 nucleotides. RefSeq lists it as uncharacterized. Lineage: Eukaryota; Metazoa; Chordata; Actinopteri; Perciformes; Percidae. The record is from RefSeq and is a predicted model, not a curated record. The transcript is spliced from 3 exons.
UGUUACAUAAAAAGAAUAGUAAUUGUAUUAUUUAUUUGUUACAUAAAUCUAAUUUUCCUUUUUCAGAUGCUCAGAGCUAUUUGUUAAAAGUUCAAUGACAAAGUAAAUGUCCUGGGGAGCAUGUGUCAGGGUGUACAUACAAAGUAAUCAGUUCUGUUUCUUCUGAUGUUUAAAAUACAUCUGACAAUGCAGUAAUGAUGUUGUGAAAUGUCAUGUAGCAAUAAUAAUGAAGCCAGAUAUGCCAGACCGCAUUAUUAUUUUACUAUUAUUAUAUUACUCUGUGUUGCUUUUAUUCAAUUUGAAUACAUUUAUUAACUUUACAACUACUAUUGUGACACUGCAUUUUGCUGUACUUUAAUGUGUAGGUCUUAAAUUUCAUUCACUGUACUGAAUUCUAUGUCU